RNAcentral lists this ribosomal RNA (465 nucleotides) under uncultured bacterium. RNAcentral describes it as "partial 16S ribosomal RNA". It matches the Rfam family "Bacterial small subunit ribosomal RNA", at positions 338 to 795 of the family's 1533-position model. The record is from RNAcentral.
CCUACGGGAGGCAGCAGUAGGGAAUCUUCCACAAUGGGCGAAAGUCUGAUGCAGCAACGCCGCGUGGGUGAAGAAGGUCUUCGGAUCGUAAAACCCUGUUGUUAGAGAAGAAAGUGCGUGCGAGUAACUGUUCACGAUUCGACGGUAUCUAACCAGAAAGCCACGGCUAACUACGUGCCAGCAGCCGCGGUAAUACGUAGGUUGCAAGCGUUAUCCGGAUUUAUUGGGCGUAAAGGGAACGCAGGCGGUCUUUUAAGUCGGAUGUGAAAGCCUUCGGCUUAACCGGAGUAGUGCAUGGGAAACUGGGGGACUUGAGUGCAGAAGAGGAGAGUGGAACUUCAUGUGUAGCGGUGAAAUGCGUAGAUAUAUGGAAGAACACCAGUGGCGAAAGCGGCUCUCUGGUCUGUAACUGACGCUGAGGUUCGAAAGCGUGGGUAGCAAACAGGAUUAGAUACCCUUGUAGUC